UACGUAGGGAGCAAGCGUUGUCCGGAAUCAUUGGGCGUAAAGCGCGCGUAGGCGGCCCUGUAAGUCCGUUGUGAAAGUCAAAGGCUCAACCUUUGAAAGCCGAUGGAUACUGCAGGGCUAGAGUCCGGAAGAGGCGAGUGGAAUUCCUGGUGUAGCGGUGGAAUGCGCAGAUAUCAGGAGGAACACCAAUAGCGAAGGCAGCUCGCUGGGCCGACACUGACGCUGAGGCGCGAAAGCCAGGGGAGCGAACGGG
RNAcentral lists this ribosomal RNA (253 nucleotides) under uncultured bacterium. RNAcentral's name for it is "partial 16S ribosomal RNA". It matches the Rfam family "Bacterial small subunit ribosomal RNA", at positions 524 to 776 of the family's 1533-position model. The record is from RNAcentral.